This 515-nucleotide ribosomal RNA is filed under the name uncultured bacterium. RNAcentral's name for it is "partial 16S ribosomal RNA". It matches the Rfam family "Bacterial small subunit ribosomal RNA", at positions 28 to 523 of the family's 1533-position model. The record is from RNAcentral.
GAUGAACGCUGGCGGCGUGCCUAAUACAUGCAAGUCGAGCGAAUGGAUUAAGCGCUUGCUCUUAUGAAGUUAGCGGCGGACGGGUGAGUAACACGUGGGUAACCUGCCCAUAAGACUGGGAUAACUCCGGGAAACCGGGGCUAAUACCGGAUAACAUUUUGAACCGCAUGGUUCGAAAUUGAAAGGCGGCUUGGGCUGUCACUUAUGGAUGGAACCGCGUCGCCUUAGCUAGUUGGUGAUGUACCGGCUCACCAAGGCAACGAUGCGUAGCCGACCUGAGAGGGUGAUCGGCCACACUGGGACUGAGACACGGCCCAGACUCCUACGGGAGGCAGCAGUAGGGAAUCUUCCGCAAUGGACGAAAGUCUGACGGAGCAACGCCGCGUGAGUGAUGAAGGCUUUCGGGUCGUAAAACUCUGUUGUUAGGGAAGAACAAGUGCUAGUUGAAUAAGCUGGCACCUUGACGGUACCUAACCAGAAAGCCACGGCUAACUACGUGCCAGCCGCCGCGGUAA